CAUUAAGUAGCUUAAAGUAAGCAUUGGUCUCUUAAACCAAAAUAUAGUAAUUUAACAUAUACUCUUAAUGG
Molecule: transfer RNA, 71 nt
Filed under: Stethoconus japonicus
Lineage: Eukaryota; Metazoa; Arthropoda; Insecta; Hemiptera; Miridae
Description: tRNA-Lys
Rfam family: tRNA
About the family: Transfer RNA (tRNA) molecules are approximately 80 nucleotides in length.
Source: RNAcentral